UCGAAUCCUGGAACGUCAGAUCUGAUAACGGCGAAGACCCUCCUGACUCGUCGCUCUCCGCCGAAACCGGUGACGAGGAGUUCUCCGCCUUGCAACAGACCUCCGACCCACUUGAUCCAGCAUCCGCCGGUUUUAGAUCGUCGUCGGAAUCGAUCACCGUUGGGGCCUGAGAUCCCGAUGCGAUGGUUGAAGAACCAGAUGACUUCGACUUUCUCCGAUCCGAUUUCCCCUUUGUCUGCGACUCGGCCAAGGUUUGGCAGAUGGCUUCGAGUUUAGCGUCGACGGCGGAGUGUAGCGGUUUGUACUCGCCGAAAUCGCCACCGACGGAGGAGCCAUGGUGCUUGAGGUGAGGGAAAUUGAGUCUGGCGAAGUCGCCUCGGAGCUUGUAAGCGGCUUUGUCGUAAGCUAAAGCGGCUUCUUCGGCGGUAUCGAAGGUGCCGAGCCAUAGCCGAGUUCUGUUCCUCGGAAGACGGAUCUCAGCCACCCAUUUCCCCCAAUGCCUUUGCCUCACGCCUCGAUAUAGUUUCGUCGAUUUCGGUGGAGAUCCCACGUGUUUCAUUGGAAUCCCCCUCGGUCCAAGCAGAUUUCCGGCGGUGUUGCUCUGAUUUCUUACUACCUGGUUGUUGAUCUGUCCCCAAACUGGCUGGAUUUGUGUGUGGAGACCGAAUUGAGAUUGGAUCUGUUGGAUCUGAAAAGGGGUUAAGUAAUUAAGUCCAAUAGAAGGUGAUUGCUCUACGCCAUGGAAAUCUUGACCCGAGAACCCAUCGGAAAAUAAAUGGGUCAACGGAGGAGAGCAAUCAGAAGGGUAAGAAGUAGACUCUGUUGGGAUAGAAGAAGAAGAAGAUGAAGAAGAAGAAGAGAAAGAGAAGUCCGGAAAAGAAGAAGGAAAAUAAGAAGGGGAAGCAACUUUCAUAAAAGGUUCAAUUGCUUCCAUUAAUUCACCACCAAAUGGAUCUGACUGAAAC
Molecule: long non-coding RNA, 965 nt
Filed under: Cucumis sativus (cucumber)
Lineage: Eukaryota; Viridiplantae; Streptophyta; Magnoliopsida; Cucurbitales; Cucurbitaceae
Description: long non-coding RNA (CSAT_LNC000192)
Source: RNAcentral